RNAcentral lists this long non-coding RNA (369 nucleotides) under Nicotiana benthamiana. RNAcentral describes it as "long non-coding RNA (NBEN_LNC036244)". Lineage: Eukaryota; Viridiplantae; Streptophyta; Magnoliopsida; Solanales; Solanaceae. The record is from RNAcentral.
AGCAACAAAAAGUACAUCCACAUUGUAUAUUUUUAGUUCGUUUCAUUUCAAUCUGACUAUUGAUGUAACUAAAAAUGUAAUCAAUUUGUAUUCUGUCUUGAAAUAUCUUGAGUCAAAUUGUAUAGAUUGUUGAGAUAUAUGUAAGGCAAUGAUGAUAAAACCCACACUUAGACCAUUAUGAGUCGAUGAGGGAGUCACAUCUGAGCCUAUUAGGCUAUUUCUGUAAUUAGGCUAUUUCUGUAAUGGGUUAUUUUGUAUAUAUGCUGAAGGGUCGUUUGUACAAAGACUAAGGGGUCAUUUUUCUGAAAUAAUAUCUGAGUCUCUUCUUCGAGACUCUUCCGAUGCUCUUCCUUCUCUCUACUUUCUCUC